Molecule: ribosomal RNA, 265 nt
Filed under: uncultured archaeon
Lineage: Archaea
Description: partial 16S ribosomal RNA
Rfam family: Archaeal small subunit ribosomal RNA
Source: RNAcentral
AGACGUCUACAUUAGAUACCCCCUGUAGUCCCAGCCCUAAACGAUGCGCGUUAGGUGUAUCGGUGACCACGAGUCACCGAGGUGCCGAAGGGAAACCGUGAAACGUGCCGCCUGGGAAGUACGGUCGCAAGACUGAAACUUAAAGGAAUUGGCGGGGAGCACCACAACGCGUGGAGCCUGCGGUUUAAUUGGACUCAACGCCGGGAAGCUCACCGGAUAAGACAGCGGAAUGAUUGCCGGGCUGAAGACCCUGCAUGACCAGCUG